GACGAACGCUGGCGGCGUGCUUAACACAUGCAAGUCGAACGGAAAGGCCCUGCUUUUGUGGGGUGCUCGAGUGGCGAACGGGUGAGUAACACGUGAGUAACCUGCCCUUGACUUUGGGAUAACUUCAGGAAACUGGGGCUAAUACCGGAUAGGAGCUCCUGCUGCAUGGUGGGGGUUGGAAAGUUUCGGCGGUUGGGGAUGGACUCGCGGCUUAUCAGCUUGUUGGUGGGGUAGUGGCUUACCAAGGCUUUGACGGGUAGCCGGCCUGAGAGGGUGACCGGCCACAUUGGGACUGAGAUACGGCCCAGACUCCUACGGGAGGCAGCAGUGGGGAAUAUUGCACAAUGGGCGGAAGCCUGAUGCAGCAACGCCGCGUGCGGGAUGACGGCCUUCGGGUUGUAAACCGCUUUCGCCUGUGACGAAGCGUGAGUGACGGUAAUGGGUAAAGAAGCACCGGCUAACUACGUGCCAGCAGCCGCGGUGAUACGUAGGGUGCGAGCGUUGUCCGGAUUUAUUGGGCGUAAAGGGCUCGUAGGUGGUUGAUCGCGUCGGAAGUGUAAUCUUGGGGCUUAACCCUGAGCGUGCUUUCGAUACGGGUUGACUUGAGGAAGGUAGGGGAGAAUGGAAUUCCUGGUGGAGCGGUGGAAUGCGCAGAUAUCAGGAGGAACACCAGUGGCGAAGGCGGUUCUCUGGGCCUUUCCUGACGCUGAGGAGCGAAAGCGUGGGGAGCGAACAGGCUUAGAUACCCUGGUAGUCCACGCUGUAAACGGUGGGUACUAGGUGUGGGGUCCAUUCCACGGGUUCCGUGCCGUAGCUAACGCUUUAAGUACCCCGCCUGGGGAGUACGGCCGCAAGGCUAAAACUCAAAGGAAUUGACGGGGCCCCGCACAAGCGGCGGAGCAUGCGGAUUAAUUCGAUGCAACGCGUAGAACCUUACCUGGGUUUGACAUGGAUCGGGAGUGCUCAGAGAUGGGUGUGCCUCUUUUGGGGUCGGUUCACAGGUGGUGCAUGGCUGUCGUCAGCUCGUGUCGUGAGAUGUUGGGUUAAGUCCCGCAACGAGCGCAACCCUUGUUCACUGUUGCCAGCACGUUAUGGUGGGGACUCAGUGGAGACCGCCGGGGUCAACUCGGAGGAAGGUGGGGAUGACGUCAAGUUAUCAUGCCCCUUAUGUCCAGGGCUUCACGCAUGCUACAAUGGCUGGUACAGAGAGUGGCGAGCCUGUGAGGGUGAGCGAAUCCCGGAAAGCCGGUCUCAGUUCGGAUUGGGGUCUGCAACUCGACCUCAUGAAGUCGGAGUCGCUAGUAAUCGCAGAUCAGCAACGCUGCGGUGAAUACGUUCCCGGG
This 1343-nucleotide ribosomal RNA is filed under the name uncultured bacterium. RNAcentral describes it as "16S ribosomal RNA". It matches the Rfam family "Bacterial small subunit ribosomal RNA", at positions 28 to 1378 of the family's 1533-position model. The record is from RNAcentral.